RNAcentral lists this transfer-messenger RNA (338 nucleotides) under Clostridia bacterium. Its description in RNAcentral is "partial transfer-messenger RNA". It matches the Rfam family "transfer-messenger RNA". Rfam says of the family: Bacterial tmRNA, also known as 10Sa RNA or SsrA, is named for its dual tRNA and mRNA-like properties. Its role is to liberate the mRNA from a stalled ribosome. The record is from RNAcentral. Lineage: Bacteria; Bacillati; Bacillota; Clostridia.
ACGGGGGUGUGGAAACCGGAUAAGCGAGCCGCAGUUUGUCCAGUCUGCGCUAAAAAGGACACGUUAAAUAUAAACGCUAAAAAUAACAACAAUUUCGCAUUAGCUGCGUAGCAGCACGCGCGUUCACCCGGAUUCACCUGCAGGUCCGGUGCUGAACGUCAAACAUGCAGGAAAACCUUGUGUGACUUCCCGGCAGCACAAGGGACUAACGGGAUAGCUGAGCUGAAAGCCUGCUUCUGGGCGUUUGGCAAAGCGAAAUCUUAAAACAGAAGCUGCGCUCGGAGAAAGUCUCGUGGAAAUGCUUUCGGACACGGGUUCGAAUCCCGUCAUCUCCACCA